UAAUUGAUUUUCUGUUAAUAAUCCAACUCAUCUUUUUAGCUCCAUAAUCUGAAAAGUAUUGAGAGCACAGAUUAUUCCACAUUUGAAUAGUCCUCUGCCAAUCAGGAGACCGCGAGGGCAGACCAAAAUAAUUCCCUAACGUUCAAAAAGAUAAACAGUAGCUCAACUGGAUAAGACCCACAAACAGCGACUCGAUGUGGCGGUCAUGGGAUCGACUCCUGACCACGGCUAUUUGCUGCAGAUCUUUCCCCAUUCUUCUCCCCCCUUUCCUGUCUCUCUCCACUGCCCUCACAAAU
Molecule: long non-coding RNA, 296 nt
Organism: Stegastes partitus (bicolor damselfish)
Lineage: Eukaryota; Metazoa; Chordata; Actinopteri; Pomacentridae
Exons: 4
Source: RefSeq, a predicted model, not a curated record